UGACCUGGAAUUGAGGUGAACCAAAGUUUUUAUCUAUACUAUAAAGAUCAAAAACAAUUGAAAACUUUUCUCACCCAAAUCGGGCCCACCGUACCCCUCACGCCGGACCCGUAUGCCAGAGCCAAGGGAGGUGGAGACCCAUAAAAAUCACAUAUUAGAGAGCGUUUCUGCCAAAAAUCAAUUCUUUUUUUCACCCGAUGUUCCCCUACCCGCCCACGCAUACCCACCCAAUCCUCAUCCUGUCCUCUGUGGCCCCGAGACGCCGGUGCGGGCAUUCCUCGAUGGCGGCCGCGUGCGGGUGCUGGCCAUCGACGGCUCUGGUGCGGGCGCCGAGGACGCUCUCCUGGCCGCCGCAGCGCUCGCGAGGCUCGAUCCGGGGCUGCGGGAGAAAGCCAUGGACCCCGUCGCGCGUGUCGCCGUCUUCUUCGACUUGGCUGCGGCCGCCGGCGCGGGGGCUUGCUGACCGUGAUGCUGUUCCUCAGAGGCCCCACAAUCGGCCGCAGUAUUCGGCCCAUGAGGCGCUCGCGUUCGUGGUCGCGAGCAUCGGGAGAAAGGGCUAGGGCGGCCGGCGCGAGCGGCGAGCAGAGGGUGCUGAUGACCUUGGCAGUGAGGUCAGUUUGUUCUUGCCUAUUUGCGGACCCUUGUUUUUCCCAGCGGUGGGACCUCGUUCCGGGUUGCUGAUGACCUUGGCAAUGGCGGAUUUCCUUUCCGUCUGCUGGCUUUACGGGCUGGUGGUGGCGGAUUAUUUCUUCCUCUUCCUUCUCGGGUGAUGCGAUGGCCGAUGAUCCUAAAUGAAAUUGAUGUGCCGCAAUUGGUUUGGCUGCUGGCCGAUGAUCCUUCUCGAUGGGCGCCGAGAAUAGGCUAGCAGCAGCACCCUGGUUGCGAACGUCCAAAGCACGAAUGCUUCGAACUUGAUGCAACAAUUGACAUCUCAAUUCUCACGAGUCAAAGAUUUGGUCUGUCCUGCUGUGUCUUCAUUGGUGUUACUUGGGAAGGUACCAACUUAACCAAGGAGACCAACUUGAGGUACAGGAAGCCUGCAACAUUGAGGAUUCUGGUGAUAGUAGUCAAGGGAACACUCUGAGAUCAGAAGCAGGUUCCAUUUAAAUGUUGUUCACCAUCUGUGUGCAACUCACAAUUGAGGAUUAUCAUAGAAUCGCUGUCAAUGGUCUGACCUGUUCCUCUUGCUCCCUUUUCAAUGCUCUUGGCGGUUUUAGGGCUCAAGCUGCCAAUGGUCGAUGAACACCACCAAUGUAGGUCGACUUGUUGAUCAAAUUUAUUAAGAUGAAUCUAUGAUUUUAAUCUAAGUUGCAAUCCUCUUGUUUUAAUCUGAGUAAUCUCAGAUGCUUUUAUUGAGAUGCAUCUAUGAUUUUGGAGAUAAAUGUAUGGCUUUUAUUUUGCAUAUUGCAGGUGGUACCAAAUUGCUUAAUGCUAAUAUUGUUGGUUAGUUGUCUUGCUAAACUGAUGCAAACAUGUUGCCUCUGCUCAGGUCUAUUUUUUUUAAUGUGUCAUUUAAUACAUAAAGCAUUUCAAAAUAAUAUCAUAGUAAAAUAGUAAAUUGUCAUUAGCAGUUUUGAAUAUCCACAUCAGCACCAUGUGGUCAGGGAGGACAGGUUUUUUUUCUUUGUCACCAAACAGAUAUGCUCGUUUUUAUUUCCAAACAGAUUAAUCCUAUCUUGGUGAUAUUCAAUGCAUAUAUUAUAUGGAAGAAAUAAUCUAUUCAUCAGCAAUAUGUUGUUUAUUCUUGUUUAAUAGCACCUUAAAUUCAGAAACAUUACUGACAUAAUGCAAUGUUUCAGAUUGUUCAACUAACAGUUCUGUUCAAUCGAGAUGUUUCCAGUUUGCAAAAUUAAUUAGAGAAAUCAUGCUGCAAUACAAAUGUUGAUAAUUUUUUUAUAUAAAUUUGGUCAAAUUUAAAAUUGUUUAACUCCUCGGAAGCGAGAUUUGCAUUAUUUUGAAACAGAGUAUAUGUUUCGGUUUGUACUUAUGAGUCAUGACAUGUUUUCGAGCGGUUUGUACUCGUAACUUUAUUUGUGGUCUUAUGUGGUUCAAUUGCACUUAGGCUGAAAUUUUCAUCUACUAGAAUAUUUGAAAAUGCAUUCUUGACCCACAUACAUCUUUAGUAUAAAUCAAUGUUUUAAAUAGCGGGCUAUAAAUUGGAGAAUGUGCCCAACUGGAUCGGCCAGUGCCGCGAGCCCGUUCGCCCCUUUGGCGUGUUUACCGAAAUGUGCACUCGUGUCUUUACUGUAUGUGCAUUGUGUAUGGACGUGAUUUUUCUUUGUUUGUUCUUCCAUAAAACAAUGCACGAUACAUUUGAGGUACAGCUUAGAUUUUGUUGCCUGGCAGUAUUAUGCAGAAAAGAGGCGCUUAUCAUCCAGUUCAGCAGGGGACGAUGCUGGUGAUCCGAGCAUAGUGGAGAUGCUGGUGCGCCAUGGCCUCACCAAGAGGACUCCUAUGAUGACAAGCACAUGAAUCUUGUGUUUUAGGAAUUUUUGUUUGGUUUACUUAUCACCUUUUUUGCUUAAAAAUAUUUCUAUGCAAGAGUAUAGUAGCAUGAUAACCAGAAGCGCUAUGAGGAUGAAAGACUGGUAGGAGUAUAUAUAGCCUCCGAGCUUGCAAGUGCGGACUGGGAACCAUGAUGACAAUAGUAGUGACCUGGUUAGGGAAGAUCCAGUUGGCUCAUUUUUUCUAUGUCCAUACUCAGGUUCAUCCUCAGUAAAAAAAAAUUGUCAAUAGUGCAUAGAGCACCAAAGUGUUGAAGUAGCGAAUUUGAGGAAAGAAAGAAGUAACAGAGUAGCUUUCUUGUUGCUGGUUGAUGAAAAUGCAGCUUCCAAUCCAGGUUGCCUACACUGACGCUGAGGAAAAUGAUUUGGCCACUUAGAAAGUUGUACAGUAUAAUUUCAUAUAAGAAUAAGAACCCGUGAAAAUGAUCUCAUAAAAGUGAAAAUGCUACAUUUCAUAUAUUAAUUGAAUCUCAGUAUUUAUACUGAAUAAUAUUUCUAUAUA
Long non-coding RNA from Panicum virgatum (switchgrass), 3006 nucleotides. RefSeq lists it as uncharacterized. The record is from RefSeq and is a predicted model, not a curated record. The transcript is spliced from 3 exons. Lineage: Eukaryota; Viridiplantae; Streptophyta; Magnoliopsida; Poales; Poaceae.